CCUACGAGAGGCAGCAGUGAGGAAUAUUGGUCAAUGGCCGGAAGGCUGAACCAGCCAUGCCGCGUGAAGGUCAGUGCCCUAUGGGCGUUAAACUUCUUUUGUGCGGGAGCAAUAAUGGUCACGUGUGGCCAGACGAGAGUACCGUACGAAUAAGCAUCGGCUAACUCCGUGCCAGCAGCAGCGGUAAUCCGGGGGAUGCAAGCGUUAUCCGGAUUUAUUGGGUUUAAAGGGUUCGUAGUCUGUGCGGUAAGUCAGCGGUGAAAUGCCCCCGCUCAACGGGGUGAAGUGCCAUUGAUACUGCCUUGCGGGAAUGCGGAUGCUGUGGGAGGAAUGUGUGGUGUAGCGGUGAAAUGCAGAGAUAUCACACAGAACACCGAUUGCGAAGGCAUCUCACGAAUCCGCGAUUGACGCUGAUGCACGAAAGCGUGGGUAUCAAACAGGAUUAGAUACCCUUGUAGUC
RNAcentral lists this ribosomal RNA (460 nucleotides) under uncultured bacterium. Its description in RNAcentral is "partial 16S ribosomal RNA". It matches the Rfam family "Bacterial small subunit ribosomal RNA", at positions 338 to 795 of the family's 1533-position model. The record is from RNAcentral.